Molecule: long non-coding RNA, 245 nt
Filed under: Mytilus galloprovincialis (Mediterranean mussel)
Lineage: Eukaryota; Metazoa; Mollusca; Bivalvia; Mytilida; Mytilidae
Source: RNAcentral
GUCGUCAAGAUGAUCAUGUUAGAUCAAACCCGAUCUCAUGUCCAAUUCAGUAAAUCACACAUUCGGGGUAAUGGAGGAUCGGAUUGUGGUUACGACGACGGGAAUAAAGCCGUCGUCAUCUGUAAAACAGAUAUUCCAUAACGGUUAACCAACUCGUUAUUGCGUCCGUUGAAUUUUUGUAGGGAUUGAUUUCAAUUUCACCAUUUGGAACCACAACAGCAAAUUGUGAUGGCAUCCGUAAAAAG